UAUUAUGCCAUUCACACUCGCUAUAUCUCUUACAUAUUGCUGCGAUUUGAUGUGUACCUUUAACACGACCAUUACGGCCAAGACAAAAGAUUUGAGGCGGACCAAGGAGCGCGAUAGGCCUCACGAUCAAUGAAAUGCCUGUACCAUCGCUCACGAAACCUACGGUCUGCUUGAGGGUUUUAGUCAUGACGAAAUUGGGAAUUAUCUGUUUAGCAGUCGGGCUUCUAAUGGUUGUGAACAAGGUUCACGCUGAAUGUAAAGCAGGCCAAAAGCAUCGCACUGAUGGAGGAAUAAGAUGCUGUUGGAAAAUAACGGCAGAUGACCCAUGUGGACCAGGACAUGAGGUCAAAACAUG
Haliotis rubra (blacklip abalone) is the source of this 355-nucleotide long non-coding RNA. RefSeq lists it as uncharacterized. The record is from RefSeq and is a predicted model, not a curated record. NCBI's taxonomy places the organism in Eukaryota, Metazoa, Mollusca, Gastropoda, Lepetellida, Haliotidae. The transcript has 5 exons.